GUGGAAGUCUUUUACCUAAAUCAGGAUGAUUAGCUAUCAGGUAGAAAUAGCCAAAUUCUUUUGUACAUUUAGUUAAGUUGAUAAUAAUAAUUUUUAAUUUAGCAAUUCAUUCCUUGUUCUCUUCUCUGUUUCUUUCUCUUUUUAUUUUUCAAUAUCAUUUAUAUGGUAUCAGUGAGUCAAAAGAUUCAUGGGCGAUGCUAUUAAUGAUCCCACACUCACUAACACUCCGGCAGUCACCACCACUGUUGCUGUUCUAGUAACAAAAUUCUUCGUUGUUCCUCUAUCUGAAAAGCUCUCCAAUAAAAACUUCUUCACAUGGAGUCAUCUUGCAACCUUAACAAUUUGUCGCCAAGAACUCUAGGAUCAUCUUGACAAAGAAAAGAUUCCACAACAGUAUACAAUUCUAGCAAAUCACUACAAAAAAAGAAGUUUAAAAUGGCAAUUUAUAGUGUUGCCAUAAUUAAUUUUUAUAAAAUAACAUUUUUAAUGAUUCAGGCAGUUUUAACAGCCAUAAUCGAAACCCAUCAUUAAAAAAAAAUGCCCAAAUAAAACCCUCUCCAACAACGGAAAACCCUAAUCCAAAAACCCAUUACUAUUGAAACCAUAGCGUGCUGCCACCAAAACCAAAAACGAAGACUUGUGCUCUGCUCCGGCGACAAUAUGCUCCAGCGACUGCUCCGGUGAUAAUCUGCUCCAGCGACUGCUCCAGUGAUAAUCUGCUCCAGCGACUAAUCCGGCGAUGAUCUUCUCAGUGGUGUUAUCCUCCAACGAGAUUGUGUGCUCUCUCCAGCGAUGAUCUCCUUUAGCAGGUUCUCCUUCGGCGGCGCGUUCUACUCCGGCUACAAUCUUCGUUUGCAGAAAUUUCAUAAAACUACGAGAUCUGUUGCGCAAGUGUUUCCUCCAACGAUCUUCUCCAGCGGCGAUCUCCUGCAUUAACGCUUCUCUUCCAUUGAUGAGAUCUGUUGUGCAAGCGUUUCCUGCGGCAUCGAGUUGUGUUCUGCGAUUUCUCCAUAUCCAUCGAGCUUCGUUGAGCAUCUAGGUUUUUUAUUUUCUUCUUUGUCAGACGAAAUUGGAGCAUUCUUGGCGGCAGUCAUGGUGUGCCUCAAGUACAUUACAAGGGCAGGCAAGGUGACUAUUAUAUUAUGGUUAUGAAUAUGCUGGGUCCGAGCUUGUGGGACAUCUGGAAUAACAACUCCCACAGGUAAGUGCCACAUCACUAUUUGUAUGAAGCUGAAUUACUGUGUUAUAAGAUGGGAUGAGCUUGUCAAGAGAGAUGCCUCUUUUUCAAAAGGGUGAUAUUAAUUUGUUUAGGACAGAACAUUGGAAACAAAGACAACAACUGAUAAGUUGAAUAAAUUCUGGAAAAUUUAACCAUAUUUGUUUGGGUCGGUUUUUACUGUUUUGCCUAUGAUAUUCUGCUUAAUAUGCAGAAUGUAUUUCUUGUAGGUGGUACGAUCUAUUGUGCCCUUGUUAAAUGAGGUGUUAAAUCCAAAAUUAUUGACACUUCUCCCGUGUAUUUUUAAAUGCAUUCAGCAUUCUCAUGUUGCAGUUAGAUUAGCUGCUUCACGCUGCAUCACUUCCAUGGCUCGGUCAAUGACUGUGAAAGUUAUGAGUGCUGUGGUUGAAAAUGCUAUCCCAGUGUUGGAAGAUGCAUCAUCAGUUCAUGCUCGUCAAGGAGCAGGCAUGUUGAUUAAUUUUCUUGUUCAGGGCCUGGGGGUAGAGUUGGUCCCUUACGCUCCAUUGUUGGUAGUUCCACUUCUAAGGUGCAUGAGUUACUGUGAUCAGUCUGUCAGGCAGAGUGUGACCCAUAGUUUUGCUACUCUUGUGCCUUUACUUCCUUUGGCACGAGGCCUUCCUCAACCACAUUGAGAAGGUACCAACAAGAAGGCAUAAAUUGGUUAGCUUUUUUGAAACGUUUCAAGCUUCAUGGAAUUUUAUGUGAUGACAUGGGGCUUGGUAAGACGCUUCAUGCAUCGGCUAUAUGGCCUCUGAUAUCACUGAGCAUCGAACUCAGUCUGGGAAUGGAGAUCUUCUACCAUCUUUGAUUAUUUGCCCAUCAACCCUAGUUGGACACUGGGCCUUUGAGAUAGAGAAAUAUAUUGAUGUUUCAGUUAUAUCUUGUCUUCAGUACGUUGGUUCUGCUCAGGACUGAAUGAUUCUUCGAGAUCAUUUUUGCAAGCAUAAUGUCAUUAUAACAUCAUAUGAUGUUGUCCGUAAAGACAUCGAUUAUUUGGGACAGCUUCUGUGGAAUUACUGUAUUUUAGAUGAAAGGCAUAUAAUCAAGAAUGCUAAGUCCAAAGUUACACUUGCUGUAAAGCAGUUAAAAGCCCAACACCACUUGAUAUUGAGUGGGACUCCAAUACAGAAUAACAUCAUGGACUUGUGGUCCCUUUUUGAUUUUCUAAUGCCUGGAUUUCUUGGAACAUAGAGACAGGUAAAGUCUUGUUUUCCUUUCCUCAUACUAAUUAUUACUUCUGCUCUACUGAUUUGGGACGAAAAGAAUUUGAAGAGGCUUAAAAGCAGUGGAAAGUCAAAGAAAGUUCUUUGAAGACUAGGAAUUUUGGUGGGUUAGUUUUUCAAGCUCAUGCCAAUGCUAUCAGAAAUGUUAUGAUGCCAGAAGUCAACUUUUUAACUUACAGCUCAUGUCCUUCGAGCUCCUUUUUUCUUUUUUUUUUGUGCAUGUCUAUGCUAAUACUUCUCAAAGUAAUAAUUAGUGGAUAUGAUUUGCUUAAUUAUUUGUAUAGAAGUUAUUACUUUUGAUUUCUAAUACUAAAAAACUAUAUAUUAUGUUUGAUACUUUAUUU
Molecule: non-coding RNA, 2804 nt
Organism: Arachis ipaensis
Lineage: Eukaryota; Viridiplantae; Streptophyta; Magnoliopsida; Fabales; Fabaceae
Source: RefSeq, a predicted model, not a curated record